This is a non-coding RNA of Schistosoma curassoni, 48 nucleotides long. Lineage: Eukaryota; Metazoa; Platyhelminthes; Trematoda; Strigeidida; Schistosomatidae. The record is from Rfam.
AUCCAGCUGACGAAUUCCAAGUAGGAUGAAACACGUGUCAAACUAGAU